UACGUAGGGUGCAAGCGUUAUUCGGAAUUACUGGGCGUAAAGCGUGCGCAGGCGGCUAUGCAAGUCAGAUGUGAAAUCCCCGGGCUCAACCUGGGAACUGCAUUUGUGACUGCAUUGCUAGAGUACGGUAGAGGGGGAUGGAAUUCCGCGUGUAGCAGUGAAAUGCGUAGAUAUGCGGAGGAACACCGAUGGCGAAGGCAAUCCCCUGGACCUGUACUGACGCUCAUGCACGAAAGCGUGGGGAGCAAACAGG
RNAcentral lists this ribosomal RNA (253 nucleotides) under uncultured bacterium. RNAcentral describes it as "partial 16S ribosomal RNA". It matches the Rfam family "Bacterial small subunit ribosomal RNA", at positions 524 to 776 of the family's 1533-position model. The record is from RNAcentral.